GUCAGGUGCAGUGGUGCACGCCUGUAAUCCCAGCAGCUCAGGAGACUGAGGCAGGAGGAUCCCAAGUUCAAAGCCAGCUCAGCAAAAGCGAGGCGCUAAGCAACUCAGUGAGAGCCUGUCUCUA
RNAcentral lists this small RNA (124 nucleotides) under Marmota monax (woodchuck). Lineage: Eukaryota; Metazoa; Chordata; Mammalia; Rodentia; Sciuridae. The record is from RNAcentral.